GACGAACGCUGGCGGCGUGCUUAAUACAUGCAAGUCAACUGAACUUGAGGUAGCAAUAUCACAAGAGAGGUGGCGCACGGGUGAGUAACACGUAGGUAAUCUGCCUUUAGGUCUGACAUAAUUCCGCGAAAGCGGGACUAAUAUCAGAUGAUGCAGCGGCUCGACAUCGAGACAGUUGUUAAACCUUCGGGCCGUAAAGAUGAGCCUGCGUCUGAUUAGGUAGUUGGCGGAAGUAAAAGACCCCACCAAGCCUGCGAUCAGUAGCUGGUCUGAGAGGAUGAUCAGCCACACUGGAACUGAGACACGGUCCAGACUCCUACGGG
This 323-nucleotide ribosomal RNA is filed under the name uncultured bacterium. RNAcentral's name for it is "bacterial SSU rRNA". It matches the Rfam family "Bacterial small subunit ribosomal RNA", at positions 28 to 345 of the family's 1533-position model. The record is from RNAcentral.